Molecule: ribosomal RNA, 207 nt
Filed under: uncultured bacterium
Lineage: Bacteria
Description: partial 16S ribosomal RNA
Rfam family: Bacterial small subunit ribosomal RNA
Source: RNAcentral
UGCGUAGGUGGUAUGGCAAGUCAGAAGUGAAAACCCAGGGCUUAACUCUGGGACUGCCUUUGAAACUGUCAGACUAGAGUGCAGGAGAGGUAAGCGGAAUUCCUAGUGUAGCGGUGAAAUGCGUAGAUAUUAGGAGGAACAUCAGUGGCGAAGGCGGCUUACUGGACUGAAACUGACACUGAGGCACGAAAGCGUGGGAGGCAAACA